This 465-nucleotide ribosomal RNA is filed under the name Vreelandella stevensii. RNAcentral describes it as "partial 16S ribosomal RNA". It matches the Rfam family "Bacterial small subunit ribosomal RNA", at positions 338 to 795 of the family's 1533-position model. The record is from RNAcentral. Lineage: Bacteria; Pseudomonadati; Pseudomonadota; Gammaproteobacteria; Oceanospirillales; Halomonadaceae.
CCUACGGGUGGCAGCAGUGGGGAAUAUUGGACAAUGGGGGCAACCCUGAUCCAGCCAUGCCGCGUGUGUGAAGAAGGCCCUCGGGUUGUAAAGCACUUUCAGUGAGGAAGAACGCCUGGUGGUUAAUACCCAUCAGGAAAGACAUCACUCACAGAAGAAGCACCGGCUAACUCCGUGCCAGCAGCCGCGGUAAUACGGAGGGUGCGAGCGUUAAUCGGAAUUACUGGGCGUAAAGCGCGCGUAGGUGGCUUGAUAAGCCGGUUGUGAAAGCCCCGGGCUCAACCUGGGAACGGCAUCCGGAACUGUCAAGCUAGAGUGCAGGAGAGGAAGGUAGAAUUCCCGGUGUAGCGGUGAAAUGCGUAGAGAUCGGGAGGAAUACCAGUGGCGAAGGCGGCCUUCUGGACUGACACUGACACUGAGGUGUGAAAGCGUGGGUAGCAAACAGGAUUAGAUACCCUUGUAGUC